GGUAGAACACAAAAUGCUCUCAACAACACCCACAUACACAACCGGCCACCAAGCCACCGCCGCGGGCCACCGUCGCCGCCCCGCCUCUGCCCUACCGCCGCUGUUUGCCGCGGUUGGCCACGGCUUGGCGUCACCUCCCUCGUCGCGUUUCGUUGGUUCAUUUACUAGCACUUGUUCGUUGAACCUCGGUGUCUCGACCGGUUAGUCAGUAACCGAGGUGCUGUGUUAGAUGAUCAUGAUGCAAACAUAGGAUCGGACAAGGGCUUUAGUGACUUAAAACUAUGAAAGACAGUUUAAUUCAUGUUAUGCUUCUUAAAUUCCUUGACAAUGUAAACAUUUUACAUCAAUAAAACAAAACUUCAAUUA
Molecule: long non-coding RNA, 366 nt
Organism: Helianthus annuus (common sunflower)
Lineage: Eukaryota; Viridiplantae; Streptophyta; Magnoliopsida; Asterales; Asteraceae
Exons: 2
Source: RefSeq, a predicted model, not a curated record